RNAcentral lists this long non-coding RNA (5044 nucleotides) under Mytilus galloprovincialis (Mediterranean mussel). Lineage: Eukaryota; Metazoa; Mollusca; Bivalvia; Mytilida; Mytilidae. The record is from RNAcentral.
UUUUUCACAGGUCUAACAUGCUGGACAUGUCCAGAGAUGUAUAGUAAUCAAGAAUGCAAUGAUUGGGCACCAGAUAUUCCCUGUCCACAAAGUAUGUAUUCGCAGACCAAUAACCCCUAUUAGCAUAUUACUUAUUGAAUAUAAUUUAUGACAAAAGCAAAUGAUACGUUCAGAUUGUGCAUGCAAAAUUAAUACUGUUAUUCUCUUUCUAUAUUGAUAAUGAUAAUGACAAUGGAGGUCACUGAUAUUUUUUUUUUAUUUGAUAAACGCCUAGUAUCAAUGUUCAAUUUGAAUCAAAUAUUCUGAAUAAAUCAUUAGUUUUAUUAAAUGAAGAUUGAAUUGACAGAACAUUGUAUUUUGAAGACAUGAUAAAAUAAAAACAAUAUUUUGAUUGAUAAUUUAUGAAAAAGAUCUGAAUUGAAGCAAAAAACAGUACUUUUCAGAGAUAUUUUAUUUAAUGAAAAAAUAUGGUCGGUACUUUAUCAAAUUCUUCUCUUGUUAAUAUUUUUGUAGUUAUAUUCAAAUAUAUUUAUAUACAUGUACUAGUAUGUGAUUAGAGUAUGGUAUAAUGCGAACCUAAUAAGUAAGUUUGUGUCGCCAUUUUAUGUACACAAACUAGUAUGCUAUAAUUUUAGCCAGAGUUAAGAACUAACAGGACACCUUGAGUUGUAUCCAUUAAAUUAAAUCUGGCGCCAUUUCUUUACCAAUUAUCAUAGUUCUCCAUAAGAAAAACAAUAUUUGCAGUUUUUCUCUCAUGCUAUAUUGUAGUUUAUUAUACAUAAUGACGGACCUUUUCAAUGUAAGUGUCAUACUAAGACAGGAGCUUGUAAUUCAGUGGUUGCCGUUUUAUGCUGUUUAUCACAUUUGUUUUUUCGUUCAUUAUUUUGUAUAUAAAUCAGGUUUUUCGUUUCUCGUUUAAACAGUUUUAUAUUUGUCAUUUAGAGGCAUUUUAUAGUCGACUAUGCGGUAUGGGUUUUGCUCAUUGAUGAAGACCGUACAAUUAUCCAAAAAAGUUGAUUAUUUCUAUGUUAUUUGGUCUUUAGUUGAGAGUUGUCUCAUUGACAAUCAUACCACUUCUUUUUAUUCGUACAUUUGUCGCCAAAAAUAUAUUUUUAUUAAAACAAUAAAUUAUUGAACAUCUUAUCUGGUAAGAUUAUUUUACUUUAAUGAUAUGUAUUAUUGCGUUGUAUGAAAACGAUUGAACGAAUUGAUGAUUGUUUUCUUCAAAUUUGUCACAGUGACUUAUUUGACAUUAAUAUGAUUUUGAUCAUUUAUUUGCAGAUAAAACUACAUGUGCAACAAUUCAUAGAUUCAAUACAAGUAGCAAAGUCAGCACAAGAGUAACCAAAUCAUGUGUGCUUCCUUUGGAAUGUGAUAAGUCGGUUGUUGGGUGCAUAACAAGAGAUGGCGCCACGGUACGAUAUCCAAUAUUAAGUCGUCCUGAAUAUGCAUGAAACAUUUGCCACUGGACGUUAAGCAACCAACAAUCAAUCAAUCCCAUAUUAAGAAUUUAUUAAUCAAUUAAAUGAUUGAUUCAUGUCCAAUCCUGAAGACUAUAAUCGUUGACCUCUAGCUUAUGAUAGGUCAAACAUACGACAAAGCAUUGAUUUACAAUCUUCUAUACUUAAGAAUGUUCCAUAUAUUCUAGCUGACAUAAAAAAAAUCACCACUCUCUCUUCUAAGAAUACAUGAAGAAAGAAAGAUAUUAUGAAGAUUUGCUUUAAAGGGUAAUUUUUUUUUGACAAAUGAUAUAAAAACCUCAAAUGUGUAGCCUUCAACUACAAUCAAACGUUCAUUUGAAAAAAAUUGGCAUUAAUUUAUGUUAAAAAACAUUAAUUAAGCAUCCAUACAUUAAUGAACCAUUAAAACCGGUAAAAAAAUAGUUUUAUGAUAAAUGAAUUAAUAAACAAAACGCAAAUGAAUAAAAUAUCCAUAUAUGUUAAUUUGUUUAAGAUUUUUUCCCCUAUGUCAAAAAGACCAGAAUGCUGGAUUUGUUGAUCGACAAAAUCGUGUUUGAUCGAUUGAUACGUCAACCAGGGACUUUCUAUACUAAGUAUACUAUUUUAGUAUAGGGAGUCCCUGCAUCAACAGACAAUCGAUUGAUGUCUUUAAAUAGACAAUCGGUAUUUAUUUCAAUUUGGAAAAUUUAAAUAAACCUGGUAGAUGUCUUGUUAAUUGUUUACAAAUAAUUCGAAAGUAUGUUGAGAAAAUGUCGUGUCAUGGUAAAAAUAAAGUAAAUUGAAACAAUCUUAUUUUUAAAUCUUGUAGAUUAUAUACAAGUAUCAUGCAUGGCAUUCAAUGUUAUUAAACAAAACUCUUACUAUUUGAAUUUAAAAGAAAGGGAGAGGUGCAAAGGAGGGAACAACAACCAUAAGUUCUAUAAAUAUAGAUAUCAACUAUAAAAAGUCUAUGAGCAGAAAAAAAAACAACAAAAAAACCUAAUAGAUGUGGCAAGACGGACCCCGGCAAAUCUGCAGUCGAACUAAGUUGCUCUGGCAGGGUAAUCACUUCCUGCUACUAAAUUAUAUCGUCGUACCCUCUGACGAUACAAUAUAAAAUAAAAUUCGGUUAUUUACAUACAGUAUAUUCCCCUCCAGAAAUCAAAUGUUGUUUAAAAAAGAGGGACGAAAGGGACAGUCAAACUCAUAAAUCUAAAACAAACUGGCAACGCCAUGGCUAAAAAUGAAAAAAGACAAACAAACAACAGCACACAUAACACAACAUAGAAAACUAAAGAAUAAACAACACGAACCCCACCAAAAAACUAGGGGUGAUCUCAGGUCCUCCGGAAGGGUAAGCAGAUCCUGCUCCACAUGUGGCACCCGUCGUGUUGCUUAUGUGAUAACAAAUCCGGUAAAUAGUCUAAUUCGGUAGGUCACGUUCCUGAAAGGGAAGGGGAUUGUAGUUUCGACGUAAGGAACAUAUCCGAUAUCAUUUGUGAAACGGUUAUUCCAUAACGGUCAACCAACUCGUGAUGGCGUCCGUAAAAUUUACGAAGGGAGGAUUUCAACUUCACCAUUUGGAACUCUUGGUUUAAUAGCUUCCUUGUGAGCAGCUUGUUAAUGUUUCUAUAGAUAUAACGGCCUUCCAAACACUUUUAGAUUCCUAACAUCACUGAAGAGACAUUAAUUGUCGAUAUCCGGAUAUGGUGUAAAAAAAUUAAGAACUUUUACAAUAAUUUGCAAAGUCCUUUAAUUGGACUCUCGUUUAGAAUUGAAUAUUUAUAUGAACUCUUAUUCAAUUUGAAACGAUAGUUCAUAUAAAUAUUCAAUUCAAAACGAGAGUUCAUAUAAAGCACUUUGCAAAUUAUUUAAAAGUUCUUGAAGUCACUUUCCUUCCGGUUAUAUAGCUCUCAAUUUUUUUAACUGUAAUGUGCUAAUCAGAUUUAUAAUCAAAUGUUUACAUACAUAACUAUUUCCAACUAAUCAGUUUGUUAAACCAUAAUAUUGUGUUUACAUUCGACUUUUACAUGUUUUACAUGAAUGAAAUAUCUUUCCUAAUCUUGUAAUUUGAUUGCAAUGGUUACCGUUGACAAGGGAUAUAAUUAAGUCCUUAUCCUCAGUGAACAGCAACGAAGAUCAGAAGGGUAACCUUUUUAUUGAAAUCCAAUAACCCAAAUAUGAAUAUUGUUGUUAUUAGGGAUUCACAGGGAAUAUGACCAGAGCAGGGGAUAUAAACACAUAAGUAAAUGCCUUAAUAUAACACAAUUAAAGUACUUAGGCAGCAACCAUUUGAUUUUCUGGGGGGGGGCUAUGGUUUUUUUUUCUGGACAAAUUUUUUUUCUCGCCUGCGGCGAAAAACAAUCUAUUUUUUUCGCGACAAGCCGAAAACAAUUUUUUUCUUUCAAUUUUAGCAUUACAUAUAGUGGCAGCUGAGGUGAAACAAACAAUUUUUUUUUCUCAGAAUCAAAAAACAAAUUAUUUUUUCUCCAAAAACUGGAAACAAACUUUUUUUUCCAAAAAAAACAUAGCCCCCCCCCCCCCCCAGAAAAUCAAAUGGUUGCUGCCUUAACUCGCAUUUUUGAAAAGAAAAAAAAAACAAAUUUCAAGUUCCAAUCCGUUGUGGGUAAAUGAAAUAAUUACGCUUGAUAUACUUAGGAAGGUUUACUACGAAUGAUUCAGGAAACAAAUAUAGGCGUGUUAUACACCAAUGUGUAGAUAAAUCAACUUAUAUUAACGGCAUAACACGUUUUAGUGCGGUUGACAUCUGAGAAAUCGAAAUAUAACAAAAGUUAGCGACUGGGUGUCAUUUAAAAAAAAAUGCGAGUUAAGUACCUUGUACUAUACCAAGGUAUAUUAGGGGGGAUGUUUCAGAGACACGUGCCUGAGUUAUAACACACUGGCAGUGAUCACGAUCUCUCUAUCCAAUGUGAAGAUCUAACUUUUUAUGCUAACAUAUAAGAUAUAUCAUAGUUUAAACAUAUUAUUUAUUGUGGAUUGGGAACAAGUUAUAUUGAACUUAUAUCAAUCACUUUCCAAGUUGCGGGUGCGAGUGCUGCCUUGUACAUGUGGCAGCAAUAGCCUGAUCUUUUCCGAAAUCUACAAGGGUAUUUUACGUGCAAGAUAAAUGGCUGGUCUCUCUGAACACGGGUCAGCCAUUUAUCGUCCCCUUAUAAUGUACAGAGUGAGCCUUUACAAAUGAGAUGUAUAAUUUUUAAAUUCAAUAUUGUUAUUUUUUUUUUAGGAAUGUACCUCCUGUUGUACUGAGUCAUAUUGUAACAAACACAUUCCAACAGACGACCGAUCGGCCAGUCAGCUGACAUCAAACUCUAUAUCGUCUGCGCCAUCUUUACCGCGGAAUUCAGGGCUAUAUUUGACAUUGAUUGUUUACUGCUUAUCUUAGUUAAUUUGUAUCUAAUGAUCGAUAGAGAUAUCAUAUGUACCGGGAAAAGAAUUUAUAAAAUGUGCAAUAUAUUUUCUUGAUUGUUAUCAAAUUUUAAUUGUGUUUGGAUUAACGAACAGUGCGUCUUGGUAACAAAUUUAAAUGUCUUUUACUUUGUACAGAUGUAAGGGGUCAUAUAAAGUAUAUAAAUAUAAUGUAUAGA